This 67-nucleotide transfer RNA is filed under the name Ochthebius puncticollis. Its description in RNAcentral is "tRNA-Arg". The record is from RNAcentral. Lineage: Eukaryota; Metazoa; Arthropoda; Insecta; Coleoptera; Hydraenidae.
AAAUAAGAAACAAAUAAUUGUAUUUAGUUUCGACCUAAAAUUAUGAUAUUAAUAAUAUCCUUAUUUA